UUCCGGUUGAUCCUGCCGGAGGCUACUGCUAUCGGGGUUCGAUUAAGCCAUGCGAGUUAAAUGUUCUUCGUGAACAUAGCGAACUGCUCAGUAACACGUGGAUAACCUACCCUUAGGACCGGAAUAACCCCGGGAAACUGGGGAUAAUACCGGAUAAGCCAUAGACGCUGGAAUGCCCUAUGGUUCAAAGCUCCGGCGCCUAAGGAUGGAUCUGCGGUCUAUCAGGUUGUAGUGGGUGUAACGUACCUACUAGCCGACGACGGAUACGGGUUGUGAGAGCAAGAGCCCGGAGAUGGAUUCUGAGACACGAAUCCAGGCCCUACGGGGUGCAGCAGGCGCGAACACUUUACAAUGCGGGAAACCGCGAUAAGGGAACCCCGAGUGCCAGCAUCAAAUGUUGGCUGUCCAGAUGGUUAAAAAUCAUUUGUUAGCAAGGGCCGGGCAAGACCGGUGCCAGCCGCCGCGGUAACACCGGCGGCCCGAGUGGUAGCCGUUUUUAUUGGGUCUAAAGGGUCCGUAGCCGGCCUGAUAAGUCCUUUGGGAAAUCUGACAGCUUAACUGUCAGGCUUCUAAGGGAUACUGUCAGGCUUGGGACCGGAAGAGGUAAGGGGUACUCCAGGGGUAGGAGUGAAAUCUUGUAAUCCCUGGGGGACCAUCUGUGGCGAAGGCGCCUUACCAGAACGGGUCCGACGGUGAGGGACGAAAGCUAGGGGAGCAAACCGGAUUAGAUACCCGGGUAGUCCUAGCUGUAAACGAUGCUCGCUAGGUGUCAGACACGGUGCGACCGUGUUUGGUGCCGCAGGGAAGCCGUUAAGCGAGCCACCUGGGAAGUACGGUCGCAAGGCUGAAACUUAAAGGAAUUGGCGGGGGAGCACUACAACGGGUGGAGCCUGCGGUUUAAUUGGAUUCAACGCCGGA
Molecule: ribosomal RNA, 918 nt
Filed under: archaeon enrichment culture clone AOM-SR-A28
Lineage: Archaea
Also listed under: 2 other names
Description: bacterial SSU rRNA
Rfam family: Archaeal small subunit ribosomal RNA
Source: RNAcentral